UGGGGAAUUUUGGACAAUGGGGGCAACCCUGAUCCAGCAAUGCCGCGUGAGUGAAGAAGGCCUUCGGGUUGUAAAGCUCUUUUGUCAGGGAAGAAACGGUAGUAGCGAAUAACUAUUACUAAUGACGGUACCUGAAGAAUAAGCACCGGCUAACUACGUGCCAGCAGCCGCGGUAAUACGUAGGGUGCAAGCGUUAAUCGGAAUUACUGGGCGUAAAGCGUGCGCAGGCGGUUGUGUAAGUCAGAUGUGAAAUCCCCGGGCUCAACCUGGGAAUUGCAUUUGAGACUGCACGGCUAGAGUGUGUCAGAGGGGGGUAGAAUUCCACGUGUAGCAGUGAAAUGCGUAGAUAUGUGGAGGAAUACCGAUGGCGAAGGCAGCCCCCUGGGAUAACACUGACGCUCAUGCACGAAAGCGUGGGGAGCAAACAGGAUUAGAUACCCCGGUAGUCCCUGAGCGGGC
This 459-nucleotide ribosomal RNA is filed under the name uncultured bacterium. RNAcentral describes it as "bacterial SSU rRNA". It matches the Rfam family "Bacterial small subunit ribosomal RNA", at positions 355 to 804 of the family's 1533-position model. The record is from RNAcentral.